This 2089-nucleotide long non-coding RNA is filed under the name Salmo salar (Atlantic salmon). RNAcentral's name for it is "lncRNA (ENSSSAG00000082952.1)". Lineage: Eukaryota; Metazoa; Chordata; Actinopteri; Salmoniformes; Salmonidae. The record is from RNAcentral.
CUCAGCCCUUAUGAUCCUCGGGGGAAGUCUCCUCUGCUACUCCUGUCCCCCUCGGGAGUACAACCCCUCACAGAUGGCAUACUCUGCCCCAGGCUCUGCCCCAGGUGGGCCCGGGUUCCAGAGAAAAGACUAUGUGUGAUGGGAUGAUGGAUGGGACAAGGACUAUUUAUGUAACAACAAAAACGUUAUUCUACACCUGUUUCUAAGGGUGUGUCUAAGAAAGGGCUUCAUGAAUCCCAAGGAGACUCCGGGAUGAAGGGAUGUGUUUGUUUCUGCUUUUUUUUACCAUUGUUUUGUUGGAUUUGUCUAUGUGUGUACAGUAUUUGUCUCUAUAAUAUCUAUUCUGAAAGGAAAGCAUAGAAAUUCUGGCUGUGUAAGAAAAACAUUUGAGAAGGAUCAUGUUCUUUUCAUUUGGGUUUAGUGAGAACAAAGGAAAUGAAGAAUAAGAUCAGUAGUUAGUAAAUGUAUUAAUUAUUAAAAAGUUUUAAGCGUUGGAUUAUUGGUGAGCUAUGCAUAUUCAUUGAAACUAUAGCAAGCUCAUUUAAACACAUUCACAAGCCUCAUAUAAUUAUUUACAUAAUGUUUGUACUUUUUUGAAUAUUCCUCUCUAAGAUGUUAGUCAUUGAGUCCAUUAAUCACUAACAUUUAAUUAUUUUCCUAGCUUCAGGCAACUACACUACAUCAAAUGAUAUCUUGUAGAAUAUUCAAUCACUAUCUUCUCAUUGACAUUUCUCUAUGUUAUUGGCUCAUAUAAAUGAGGCAUUGCUUAGGCUUCAGAAACUAAGGAACACUAAAAAGACAUUUGACUGAUGCUUUCACAAAAAGAUAGAGGUGGAAAGGUUUUUAUUUUACUGCAAGAAUGCAAGAAUACAGUAGAGUGUACAGAAUCAGUAUGUUCACAUCGUUUUUUAAGGAACUAUGUUUCUUUUUUAUGUAGGAUUUUUUUUUUAUGUUGGGAAAUGCAUUUGGGAGGGCAUCUGUGUGAUGGUGAUGUUCUAUCAUCAGUGUUAAGGGUGUGACUGUGUGAUGUACUCAUCUGUUUGGACCUGAGCAAGAGGAGCGGCUGCCUUGGCAGCAGCUACCGUAAUUUCCGGACUAUAAGCCGCUACUUUUUUCCCAGGCUUUGAACCUCGCGGCUUAAACAAUGACGCGGCUAAUAUAUGGAUUUUCCCGCUUUCAUAUAUAUACAAAAAUUUAAAAAACACAUUCUGUGACGUGCUCUGUUUUUUGGCGGCAUGAAGCUUUCUUUAGACCAAUGAAAUUGCCGAACGGGUUAAGGUCAAACAACUUUUUUGUUUACUGUUUAGAUUAAAUCGAGCGCGCUCAAACUUCCCAUCAUUCUGAUUACGGUAGUCAUUUUGUCACCCUCAUCAUGGCAAAGACACGGAGAAAUGCAUAUGAUGCAGCUUUCAAGUUGAAGGCGAUUGAUCUGGCUGUUGGAAAAGGAAAUAGAGCUGCUGCACAGGAGCUUGGUCUGGAGCAAUGACUUUCUUGGUAGGCUACUGUUUACUGCAAAUGUUUAAUUUUUUGUUACAAGCCGUGUUUCGUUAAAGCCUAUUUAUUUUUGUUACAAGCCAUGUUUCGUUAAAGCCUAUUUAUUUUUGUUACAAGCCGUGUUUCGUUAAAGCCUGUGUAAAGUUAAUUUGUUUCAAUGUACCGGUAGGCACCUGCGGCUUAUAGACAUGUGCGGCUUAUUUAUGUUCAAAAUAAAUUAAAAAAUUUAAUUCAGUGGGUGCGGCUUAUAUUCAGGUGUGCUCAAUAGUCCGGAAAUUAUGGUAAUUGGGAUCCAAAUAAAAUACUAAAUACUACUAACAUACAGAGUACUGUAUCUAUCUGUACUGAAUGCUGUCACCUGAACUCCAGACAGAUGACAGAUGUAUUAAACAGAGUGUGGAUAGCAGUGCACAGAGGGAAUGGGGAACAGGUUGGGAGCAGACAAACUGAAGGCCUCAGUGUUUUGGGGCAAUGAGGAGUAACGGGGGCAUUGUGCACCUGUGUCCAGCCAGAACAGUGCUAAUGUGUGUGUUAGUCCUGCAGUGUUAACUGCACAUCACCUGCUUUUUAAUAAAGAUAGUUGUUGUUUUAUAAA